This 957-nucleotide ribosomal RNA is filed under the name Triticum aestivum (bread wheat). Its description in RNAcentral is "partial small subunit ribosomal RNA". Lineage: Eukaryota; Viridiplantae; Streptophyta; Magnoliopsida; Poales; Poaceae. The record is from RNAcentral.
AUGCCGCCGCCGGCGACCCCUGCCCCGAGCGCCGCGGUGCAACCAUGCCUGAGGACGCACGGAAAGGAGGUCGCUAGGCUGCACCUGUUCGACUGGAUCGUGCUGCUCCUGCUCGUCGCCACGACCGGCGCGCUCGGCCUGGUCCAGCCGUUCCACCGCUUCGUGGCACAAGACAUGAUGUCGGACCUCCGGUACCCCAUGAAGGGCAGCACCGUGCCCGACUGGGCCGUGCCGGUCAUUGCCAUCGUUGUGCCGAUGGUUUUCAUCGUCGGAACAUACAUCAAGAGGAGGAACGUCUAUGACCUGCAUCACGCUACCCUUGGCCUCCUGUUUUCCGUUCUUAUAACUGCUAUCGUGACCGUUGCGAUCAAGGAUGCGGUUGGCCGGCCGCGCCCGGACUUCUUUUGGCGCUGCUUUCCUGAUGGAGUGCCGAAGUACAACAACGUCACCCGAGAUGUGAUAUGCGACGGUAAACCGGGCGUAAUCAAAGAGGGGUACAAGAGCUUCCCGAGUGGGCAUGCUUCAGGUGCUUUUGCUGGGCUUGGAUUUCUGUCAUGGUACCUGGCAGGCAAACUGAAGGCCUUCGACCGAAGAGGCCACGUCGCCAAGCUCUGCGUCGUUCUUCUGCCACUGCUUAUGGCAACAAUGGUUGCAAUAUCGCGGGUGACUGACUACUGGCACCACUGGCAGGAUGUGUUUGCUGGUGGAGUCCUUGGAUUGGUGGUUGCUUCGUUUUGCUACCUUCAGUUCUUUCCGCCACCCUACAGUGAACAUGGAGUUUGGCCUCAUGCGUACUUGGAGCACAUUCGUCGUCCGGAGGGUGAAAUGCAAGGGCAAUCAACAACAAACUCAAAUAUGCACCAUAACUCACUGCCACUUGAUCUUUCUGGAUCAAAUGAGACGAGAACCACCAGCCAUGCACUGGAUUCCAUGGAAGAAGGGAGCAGAGAUCAGUGA